CGAGCGCAACCCUUGUCAUUAGUUGCUACAUUCAGUUGGGCGACUCUAAUGAGACUGCCGGUGACAAACCGGAGGAAGGUGGGGAUGACGUCAAGUCCUCAUGGCCCUUAUAGGUGGGGCUACACACGUCAUACAAUGGAUGGUACAAAGGGUCGCCAACCCGCGAGGGGGGAGCCAAUCCCAUAAAGCCAUUCGUAGUCCGGAUCGCAGUCUGCAACUCGACUGCGUGAAGUCGGAAUCGCUAGUAAUCGUGGAUCAGAAUGUCACGGUGAAUACGUUCCCGGGUCUU
This 289-nucleotide ribosomal RNA is filed under the name uncultured Acidovorax sp. RNAcentral describes it as "partial 16S ribosomal RNA". It matches the Rfam family "Bacterial small subunit ribosomal RNA", at positions 1093 to 1382 of the family's 1533-position model. Lineage: Bacteria; Pseudomonadati; Pseudomonadota; Betaproteobacteria; Burkholderiales; Comamonadaceae. The record is from RNAcentral.